CGUUCCAUCUGGAAGAAUCUGGAGACAGGUGCUGCAUGGCUGUCGUCAGCUCGUGUCGUGAGAUGUUGGGUUAAGUCCCGCAACGAGCGCAACCCUUGCCUUUAGUUGCCAGCAGUUCGGCUGGGCACUCUAAAGGGACUGCCGGUGUUAAACCGGAGGAAGGUGGGGAUGACGUCAAGUCCUCAUGGCCUUUAUGACCAGGGCUACACACGUACUACAAUGGCCGAUACAAAGGGCAGCGACACUGCGAGGUGAAGCCAAUCCCGUAAAAUCGGUCUCAGUCCGGAUUGGAGUCUGCAACUCGACUCCAUGAAGUUGGAAUCGCUAGUAAUCGUGGAUCAGCAUGCCACGGUGAAUACGUUCCCGGGCCUU
RNAcentral lists this ribosomal RNA (372 nucleotides) under uncultured Desulfobulbus sp. RNAcentral's name for it is "bacterial SSU rRNA". It matches the Rfam family "Bacterial small subunit ribosomal RNA", at positions 1013 to 1382 of the family's 1533-position model. Lineage: Bacteria; Pseudomonadati; Thermodesulfobacteriota; Desulfobulbia; Desulfobulbales; Desulfobulbaceae. The record is from RNAcentral.